RNAcentral lists this long non-coding RNA (1268 nucleotides) under Capra hircus (goat). Its description in RNAcentral is "lncRNA (ENSCHIG00010009448.1)". Lineage: Eukaryota; Metazoa; Chordata; Mammalia; Artiodactyla; Bovidae. The record is from RNAcentral.
UCCUUGUCUUUGGGUUAAUGAUCAGGCGCCCCAGUCAACAAGCAAAGGUGGGGGCCUGCAAGGUAAGGUUGUGGGGGGUCCAGUUUCUGGGUCGAGGGGGAUCUCUGCUCCUCUCUUCCGGUGCCCCCCAGCAAGGGGUGCAGGGAGAUGAAGUCCUGGGCUCCAGAUGAGAACCGGGACUUGGCAGGAAUUAUCAGCCACGAGGGGCCGGCUCCUGUCGGGCUUGAUUUCCUUUUGCUGUUGUUUAGUUUUCCUAUUUAAUACAGGCUCCCUCCAUAACCUCAGUGAGGGGGCGCUCGGGGCGCGGUGCUGGGAGGGGACAGCCCCCGUGUCGCUGCACACAGGCCCCAGAGGCUCAGCAGGAAUGAGCGCCGCACCUCCGGUUAAAAAAAGCCACAAAAAAGCCACAGUCCCGUCCUGGCCAGCGUUUCCCAAGCCUCGCGGCAAGAGUUGUCAUUGGAGGAGGUUGUUCAUUGUCUGGGUUCCGUCACUGAUAAGGGCUCACAGGGGACACAGGGCUCACAGGGGACAUUGUCCCAGCACAGGGGAGUCCGGGGGGGACAAGGGGAGACAGGGAAGGAGGACCCCAGGCCACUGCUGGCGGUCUAGGCAAGGUCCACCCGGACGACCAAGUCCACGGCAGGAAGAACACGGUCAGUUCUCCUUGUUGGUGGGGUGUCGGGGGGCACAGAACUUGUCUCCACGGAGCCUUCUGGUCCACAUUCAAGUCAACACCGAGCCCACGAGACGACAGACCUUUGCCAGCCCGGCCGUCACCCUCUCGCUUUAUUCCAGUUCUUGGCACAGCAUUGACUGCUGUCCACUGCUGACUCACCCAUUCACUCAGGCAUCCAUUCGUUUCUUUCCCGUCAGUGCCUGCAUCUCCACCUUUGUGUUGACCCUGCUUUUUCUCCCUUCCCCUAAGUGCUCAGGUUAUAGCUUUGAACACAACAUAACUGGUUCAGGGGAAGUAUUCUAUGAGAGUACUAGGCUCACAGAUUACACACACGAGUUCCUCCUUGGCCACACUGUUAUGUACAUAAACAUAAACACAUAAAGCAGAAAUAUAGCUCCCUUCUCCUCAAAUCCAGCAGCACUUUAUUGUUGUCCAGUCACUAAGUUGUGUUUGACACUUUGCGACCCCACAGACCGCAGCACACCAGGCUCCUCUGUCCUCCACCAUCUCCUGGAAUUUGCUUUAAUUCAUUUCCGUUGAGUGGGUAAUGCUAUCUAACCAUCACAUCCUCUGCCGCCCCCUUUUCAUUUUG